Molecule: non-coding RNA, 74 nt
Organism: Galeopterus variegatus (Sunda flying lemur)
Lineage: Eukaryota; Metazoa; Chordata; Mammalia; Dermoptera; Cynocephalidae
Source: the annotation of a RefSeq genome assembly
GGCCAGUUAGCUCAGUUGGAUAGAGCAUGGUGCUAAUAACACCAAAGUCUAGGGUUCAGUUCCCAUACUGGCCA